CCAAAGCACAAUAAGGCCACAUGCGAGUGGGGAUCACAAAAAAACACGUGCCGAAAAUCAAAUUCAAAAGCCAAAAGUGGGGAGCACGGAACUCUGGCUUCCUCCGCUGUGUCGGAGAUCACCUUCGGCGAAGAUGGAGCUCUAAUGCCUAAAACAAACACAUCAUCUCCUUUACCUCCUCAGCCUGGUUUCGAAAAUCUCAACGAAAUGGUCUAAUUCUUCCUUAGCAUCCUGAAUCGAAGAAGAGAAGCCAAAAGCCCUCAAUCUGAGAAACAAAAUUAAAUCACGCUCCUUCAGAGUCAAAGCCCUAGGGGUUAGGGAUUUGAAUCCCCUACUCCUACUCUAUAUCCAGGUAACCAGUAUGAGGCAAAAUGAUGAAGUCAAUGGAACUUACCGAUGCGGAGGUCGCCGGAAUUCCAGGUUAAUCAUUUGUUGAAAGUUACUUUGGAUUGGCUGCUAUGUUUUUGGAUGUUAUACAUGUUGUGGUCAGGCACUGCUCCAUGUACUCUGGUUCGGGUUUGAGUUUGUCACUGUGUUUGGCCUUUGGUUCACAGGCCACUGAUGUUGUGGGAGCCCUGUCGAUCUGCAGUAUAAUAGAAUCACUCUUAAAAUGUGACCAUGUGUACCGAACUUUCCAGCUUCAUGAGAGGAAAGUUAGAACAAAGUAGUAAGGUCCGGUUGACUGCUGGAUGUAGUAACGGAAAGCUCUCGCAUUGCUGCAAUUGUUGACUCCAAUUUGCUACUAGAUUCUUUUCCUCAGCCAUGGAGCGGAAUUGGAGGGAGUAGCGAAAGAAAAGCGGUGUUGAGGAUUAAUGGUGGUGUUCGCUACAAAUUGGUCAUUUUUGCAGCAUGUCAACUCAAUGUUCAUUUUAAAUGUAUUACGUAUGGAAACUUUUGCGGCAAUUGCAUUGUCGUAUUUCCUGCAUUAUGAUCGAAAUGGUUUGUUGGCUA
This is a long non-coding RNA of Lathyrus oleraceus (garden pea), 951 nucleotides long. RefSeq lists it as uncharacterized. The record is from RefSeq and is a predicted model, not a curated record. The transcript is spliced from 2 exons. NCBI's taxonomy places the organism in Eukaryota, Viridiplantae, Streptophyta, Magnoliopsida, Fabales, Fabaceae.